UGCGCUUUAGUGAAGUGGUUAUCACGGGAAGCUCAUGACUUCCUAUCCCACGUUCAAUUCGUGGAGGCGCAC
This 72-nucleotide transfer RNA is filed under the name Sterigmatomyces sp. Its description in RNAcentral is "tRNA-Met". Lineage: Eukaryota; Fungi; Basidiomycota; Agaricostilbomycetes; Agaricostilbales; Agaricostilbaceae. The record is from RNAcentral.